This 74-nucleotide transfer RNA is filed under the name Allobosea vaviloviae. Its description in RNAcentral is "Bosea vaviloviae tRNA-Val". Lineage: Bacteria; Pseudomonadati; Pseudomonadota; Alphaproteobacteria; Hyphomicrobiales; Alloboseaceae. The record is from RNAcentral.
GGCUGCAUUCUUGGGAAUGCUGUAUUACGUUGACAUCGUAGGGGUCACAGGUUCGAUCCCUGUCGCGCCCACCA